CAAUAGCGUAUAUUAAAGUUGUUGCAGUUAAAAGCUCGUAGUUGGAUUUCUGGUCGGAGCGACCGGUCGGCGUCCUUUGUGGCGUGUGCACUGUUGUCGGCUCCGUCCAUCCUAGUGGGAAGGCGCGUGGGCAUUCAUUUGUUCGCGCGUGGCCCCGCUACGUUUACUGUGAAAAAUUAGAGUGUUUAAAGCAGGCGUUCGCUGUGAAUACAUUAGCAUGGAAUAAUGAGAUAGGACUUUGGUACUAUUUUGUUGGUUUGCGCACCAAGGUAAUGAUUAAUAGGGAUAGUUGGGGGUAUUCAUAUUCAAUUGUCAGAGGUGAAAUUCUUGGAUUUAUGGAAGAUGAACUUAUGCGAAAGCAUUUACCAAGGAUGUUUUCAUUAAUCAAGAACGAAAGUUAGGGGAUCGAAGACGAUCAGAUACCAU
RNAcentral lists this ribosomal RNA (426 nucleotides) under uncultured eukaryote. RNAcentral's name for it is "SSU rRNA". It matches the Rfam family "Eukaryotic small subunit ribosomal RNA", at positions 592 to 1018 of the family's 1831-position model. The record is from RNAcentral.